GUGGAGACUAACUAUGAAAUGCUUACUGACAGAGACUUACCAACAAAGCGGCCGCGUAGCCUAGUGGUUAGAGUGUAGGGGCGGCAGCGUAGCCUAGUAGUUAGAGUGUAGGGGCGGCAGCGUGGCCUAGUGGAUAGAGUGUAGGGGCGGCAGGGUAGCCUAGUGGUUAGAGUGUAGGGACAGGCAGGUAGCCUAGUGGUUAGAAUGUAGGGGCGGCAGGGUAGCCUAGUGGUUAGAGUGUAGGGGCGGCAAGUAGUCUAGUGGUUAGAUUGGAGGGGCGGCAGUGUAGCCUAGUGGUUAGAGUGUAGGGGCGGCAGGGUAGCCUAGUGGUUAGAGUGUAGGGGCGGCAGGUAGCCUAGUGGUUAGAGUGGUGGGGCGGCAGGUAGCCUAGUGGUUAGAGUGUAGGGGCGGCAGCGUAGCCUAGUGGUUAGAGUGUAGGGGCGGCAGGGUAGCCUAGUGGUUAGAGUGUAGGGGCGGCAGGUAGUCUAGUGGUUAGAGUGUAGGGGCGGCAGGGUAGCCUAGUGGUUAGAGUGUAGGGGUGGCAGCGUAGCCUAGUGGUUAGAGUGUAGGGACAGGCAGGUAGCCUAGUGGUUAGAGUGGAGGGGCGGCAGGUAGCCUAGUGGUUAGAGUGGUGGGGCGGCAGGUAGCCUAGUGGUUAGAGUGUAGGGGUG
This is a long non-coding RNA of Oncorhynchus tshawytscha (Chinook salmon), 671 nucleotides long. NCBI's taxonomy places the organism in Eukaryota, Metazoa, Chordata, Actinopteri, Salmoniformes, Salmonidae. The record is from Ensembl.